CAAUAGCGUAUAUUAAAGUUGUUGCGGUUAAAAAGCUCGUAGUUGGAUUUCUGCCGAGGACGACCGGUCCGCCCUCUGGGUGUGUAUCUGGUUUGGCCUGGGCAUCUUCUUGGAGAACGUAGCUGCACUUGACUGUGUGGUGCGGUGUCCAGGACUUUUACUUUGAGGAAAUUAGAGUGUUUCAAGCAGGCACACGCCUUGAAUACAUUAGCAUGGAAUAAUAAGAUAGGACCUCGGUUCUAUUUUGUUGGUUUCUAGAGCUGAGGUAAUGAUUAAUAGGGAUAGUUGGGGGCAUUCGUAUUCAACUGUCAGAGGUGAAAUUCUUGGAUUUGUUGAAGACGAUCUACUGCGAAAGCAUUUGCCAGGGAUGUUUUCAUUGA
RNAcentral lists this ribosomal RNA (380 nucleotides) under uncultured eukaryote. RNAcentral describes it as "partial 18S ribosomal RNA". It matches the Rfam family "Eukaryotic small subunit ribosomal RNA", at positions 592 to 976 of the family's 1831-position model. The record is from RNAcentral.